This is a non-coding RNA of Malus domestica (apple), 1058 nucleotides long. The record is from RefSeq and is a predicted model, not a curated record. Lineage: Eukaryota; Viridiplantae; Streptophyta; Magnoliopsida; Rosales; Rosaceae.
AUAUUACAGUUUAGAGUGGUGGGUGAGUUGGGAGAAGAGCAAGUUUCAACCUUGGAAAGGAAGAUGAGGACACAAAGGUCAGCGAGCAUGGUACCCACAUUGACAAAGGCGCUGACGUGAACUAGGUCACCAAUCCAUCUGGUUUGGAGCCCCUUUUUGGUAACAUAAUGAAAAUAUGGGGAACAAACAUACAAUGUGUGUUUAUUUAAGUAUUCAACAAGUCUCUUACAAUUUAUUGAAAAAAUAAAAUGCAAAAGGAAAAUUAUCUAUUUUCUGUCUAAGUGAGUUGUCUAGGCAGGCACCUCAAUAGGUCUACGCACAUUUUCUUAAUUUUCAAAUGCCUAGGCAUUAAUUGGGUUGGUGGCCAACUACUUAGCACCUAGGCGAGGUCUAGGUGGCUCUAGGUGCGGAUUUUUAGAACAGUGUUAGUAAGAGAAUGUGGCAGAAGCGUAAAUGAUUGCAAUUGGUGCACCAUUUCACCUCUCUCGAAUCCUACAAAAGAUGGAAAGUUGGUGAUGGUCAUUCAGUCGAGUUCCCGAAGCCCUUACGGAUCAUCCCAAAGUCGGAUGUGGAGGUUUUCGUCGACGUCUUGACGAGUUAGGUGGGUUCGUCGAGUUAAGUUCACUUUCGGUCGUCAUUCAAACAAUUGAAUAUGAACUCAAUGUCCAUAUAUCCCUAACAACCUAUCAUUUUUUUUGUGUACCAGCGAUAAACUGGACUUAUUUGGAUUGGCUACCGUGGGUCGAGAUUUUUUUACCGCACUUUUUCAGUUCGAAGGUACUUUGAACAACAAUAAUGCAUUUGACCUUGGAUUCAACACAUCAACGUUGGCAUUUACCUUUUGAGGAAGUGAUCAACGGAGCAUCCUAGAGAUUUCGGGGUGCGGUGGACAAUUGUUGACUUCUAUUUAUGGGAAAAAAUGAAGCAGGAACAUGCACAAUUUGAGACCCUUGUUGUAGGAAAUGGUAAGGGCAAGUCCAAGGCAAAGGCAAAAGAAGCUCUGGUUUUUAAGCACUUGAUGAAGGUUAUGUCAGUUGAUGCAACUGUGACGCCACAUA